AACGAACGCUGGCGGCAUGCCUAACACAUGCAAGACGAACGAGACCUUCGGGUCUAGUGGCGCACGGGUGCGUAACGCGUGGGAACCUGCCCUUAGGUUCGGAAUAACUCCCCGAAAGGGGUGCUAAUACCGGAUAAUGUCUUCGGACCAAAGAUUUAUCGCCUUUGGAUGGGCCCGCGUUGGAUUAGCUAGUUGGUAGGGUAAAAGCCUACCAAGGCGACGAUCCAUAGCUGGUCUGAGAGGAUGAUCAGCCACACUGGGACUGAGACACGGCCCAGACUCCUACGGGAGGCAGCAGUGGGGAAUAUUGGACAAUGGGCGAAAGCCUGAUCCAGCAAUGCCGCGUGAGUGAUGAAGGCCUUAGGGUUGUAAAGCUCUUUUACCCGGGAUGAUAAUGACAGUACCGGGAGAAUAAGCUCCGACUAACUCCGUG
RNAcentral lists this ribosomal RNA (433 nucleotides) under uncultured bacterium. RNAcentral's name for it is "partial 16S ribosomal RNA". It matches the Rfam family "Bacterial small subunit ribosomal RNA", at positions 29 to 507 of the family's 1533-position model. The record is from RNAcentral.